This is a long non-coding RNA of Astatotilapia calliptera (eastern happy), 645 nucleotides long. NCBI's taxonomy places the organism in Eukaryota, Metazoa, Chordata, Actinopteri, Cichliformes, Cichlidae. The record is from Ensembl.
CCCAUCUUGAGGAGUUUGCCCCCUCACAUAUACUAAUGUGCCACAAAUGGGACUUUAAUAUCACCAACCAUUCCCAUUUUAUUAUGGUGUAUCCAUAUAAAUGGCCCACCCUGUAGUUAUAAUCACACAUUUUAAUAUAGGGCUUUGGAGCGUGAUGUCACGGGGGUGGGCGUGGAAAGGAUUUUGGCCCGAUCCGCCAUUUUGGGGGUCUAGCGCAAGUGAAAAGGGAGCGAAGUCACACACAACAGCCAUGCAAUAUGAGGCAGCUCGUGUAUCGAUGUUACCAAACGAAGGCGUCUAGCCUGGAUAGCAGCUGUGAGACGAGCUGACGUGCAGUUCUCUUCCAUCUCCAAAUAUCUGUUGGUGCUCCAGACAUUUUCAUUCCGCAAACCAGCCAAUGAAAUGGAUGAAACAUCGUGACUGGGUUCCAGCACUACACAAGGGACCUGCUUCAAACAUACCACCAUGCCAAUCAGAUUACUUCUUCCAUGUGAGGGUGAAGAGGUGACCCUCCUGGAUAAGAUGGUGAAGGUUUGCUGCGUUUGGUGAACAGUGUGAUAAUAAAACCAGGGAAAAUGAAACCUGCUCCUGUUAAAUAUUCUUAAGUAUUGUGCUGUUAAAAUUGCUGUAUUUUUUCAAAAGAUA